GCCUGGUCUGCAGGGAGCAGCGAGGGGCCGCGAGCGAGGAUGGACCCCGCUACCCCCCAGAAGCCCCUCAGUGGAUUUCCACGCGGAAAGGAUGUUGGCGGCCCCGGUGACACGGCUUGGAUCCACCUUCCACUCCAGAAACCAGUGUGGGGCGUUCUGGCCAUUUCCUGCCCCGCGGGCCGCCCACCCUCCUCAGAUCCCAGUCGCCCUCUGCAGGCAUGACCUCACUCCACGGCCGGGAAGCUCCUGCUCCCCGCCUGUUUACCCUGGCCCAGCGACAGGCCUGAUCUUUUAACCAGAAAAGAAUCAAAAAGAUUGUCCCUCACGAUGGCGGCACCUGUCAGCUGCAUGGAGCUUCAUUCGAGAUUGUCUGAGCUGUGGGGAUUUGCAACCAUGUUCAGUCACCUGGAGAAUAAUGCUGGUGGAAGCAGUCUCUGGAAUUACACACACCCGGCACGUCUCUGGAUGCUGCGGGUGUUUUUAAGGAAGGCCUUGGCUGAGUGACACGUGAAUUCCUGCAGCCUGGAUGCCCACAGGGGAUGGAGGACCACAGUUUCCUGUGAAGGCUGAGCCCUCCAUCCUGAUCUUGACGGUGAUGUGGGGUCGGUCUCUCCAGCUCCCCAUGGGGGCUCCGUAGGAAACAUGGAAAUCCAAGCUCAAAGAGGCUUAGCGACUUGCCCGAGAUACCUAGUUAGUUUGUGCAAAGGCCGGAUUUGCACCGUGUGGUUAGGCUCCAGAGCUGUGAAUUCACCCACUGCCCUGUACCACGUCUUGAUAGCGAUUGCCUUGGACAGUGUCUUCAAGGAGCUCCAGGGUGUAGACAAGCAAGCCAACAAUUACGGUACGUGGCAAUGGACUAUGAGAAGGACGUCUGGAACCCAUGUUCAAGUGGGGAGAGCCCCGGCUUUGGCCCCCGCACUUGGUAGCCGCUGCCGCGUGAACCCAGGCGCUUGUCCUCCAAGAAGAACUGAGCCAGGGGCCGAGGACUCAGCCCUAGAGGCCGAGCCGGGCUGCUAGGGCUGGAGCAGGAGCUGUGGCUGAAAGUGGGCCAUGCCCCCUGCGCCCAGCACCAUCAAAGGCUGGCGAGGUGGGAGCAGCAGGCCACUGUCUUUACUCUGGACAGAGGCUGGUGUGUCUGUCCAGACUGUGGCGACAGGCGGGGAGUUAGCCACGGGAAAGGACUGCCCACUCUUGUCCAUCUUUCCUGGCAAAGAUGAGAAACUGGAGACCUCAAGAGAGAGAGGAACAUGUCCAAGGCUGCGUGGGGGACAGCUAGGACUUGCCAGAGGAUUUAGGAUUCCGAGUCUGAAGUUCAAGUGUCUUGACCUCUGUGAUCUAGGGAUGAGUGCCUUCCAUUGCUCAGUGACUCCAGAACUGCAACUGUGCACGAACGCAUCCAAUGACAAUGUCACAUAGCCACAAGCCUGGGCACCACCGUGCCGGACCCGUUCUGAGCACGCCAUGUGUAUUAAGUCAUGGAGCCCUCAUGCCUCCCUGCGAGGGACGUACUAUCAACGCAGGGACACCGAGGCCUCAGUAAGCUGUGUGUGCUUCAUGCAGCUCAUAAUCCACAGCACCGGAAUCGGAGCCCAGCAGUGGUCUGGGUCCUGCACUCCUCUGAAGGCUACGUGUUCUGUGGAAUGGGGCAGAAUCCUGAUAUACCUGGGAUUAGGUGCUUUUAACCCGAAAAAUGUACAUAUCCAUUCAACACUCCAGAGGGACUUGAGAACGUCCUUCUCAAGUAAAGUUGUGAUGUCUUAAGAUUUGGAGAAUUAAGGGCAGCGAUGGUAGCUGAGGUGACGGGUAAUUUCUUGAGACCCCAGCAUGCCUGCUGGCCGGUUCAUGGCACAGUCAGAAUGUGUUCGCUGCCACCUCCGUAAUUUUUCAGCCUGAGUGAACAGACCUGCACAUCACCUACCUCCUUCAUGUUGACAGCCAUCUUUAGCUCUCGCCUGUCAGACAGGAGGUCGCUGCCUGGCGUUCCAUUUCCCCGAGUCAGGGAUGAUGCGCAUGUGACUGAGCAGGUAUCCUGGGAGUUUGUAACAGUCAGAAAUGAGUAGACUCCUUUCAGAGUUUUCAGAAUCCUGUUUCGCUUAUGCACAAAGAUGUUGGCUACAGUGAUAUUUAUAACAGUGAAAAGCCACAAAAAGCUUCAGCGUCGUAGAAUAUGGGAGUGUGGCAGGAACUGCAGCGUGUGCAGAGAGUUCAUUAUUCAGUCUUUCAGACGUAACGACGAUGGAUAAAAAGGUCUGCCUUAUGGGGCAGAAGAACAGGAGGCACAUCGUUAACACGGCAUGAUGGCAUGAUAAGAAAAAGUGCUAUAAAAGUUUGGAUAAAGUCCCCCCACAGGUCAGCAGUCCUGUCGUGAUCAGCUGCUCCGUGCCAGGCACCCGGGCUGGGGGUCAGCGGAGGCUCUCUCAAGGAGGUGGGCAGCUGUCCGUCCGUGCCCCUGUCUCCACCGUUAGGCUUCUGGAAGCCCCUGGCAGCCUAGCUCUGAGCUGACCGGCUGGCGAAAUGCCGCAGGGAAGAAACUGAAGUGCGACAGGUGGAAAAAUCUCUCCUCCGGGUGGUACCGCAGCAGAAGGAGGGCAAAGCAGGGAGGCCUGCCUGACAGAGCCUCGGCUUGUGGGCGACCAGGCCUGCAUCCAGCCCACAGCGCGGGAGCCCACCUUCUCAGAGUUAUGCUGCGGGGGCUGCGAUGAGUGUGUUCCCCAGAGCGUUACAGAUGCGAAAGCUGCACGUCGGCGGGGCGGGUGGUUGGUGUUGCUGUCUGCAGUUCAGGGGUCUCCUCCCCUGACCACCACCCCCUUAAAAUUCUCAGGCUCUGACAGCACGAGGAGAAGGGCUGGCCAGGGAGCAGAGCCGGCGGGCCCUGAGCGAGCUCUCCUGCUCCUUGGCAAUUCCGGCAUGAUUCAUAAUGAUUGUAGCAGAUGAGGCAUGAGGUCCGCGUCUCAGACUGCAGCUGAUGAAAAUCUUUUCCCAGAGGAAGCAUGCCCAGCCUCCUGGGAGGACCUUUGGAGGACUUCAGCCGUCUGGCUGGCCUGAGCUGCCCGGUUCCCAGCACUGCGGUCAGCAAUGAGCAGCCUGUGAUGGUCGGGCGGUGGUUCCUGUCCGUCUGCGAGUCUCAGAGCCGGCUGUGCCUGGACCGGCUGCAGGCAGGCUCGGCGCUCAGGAUGCUGUAGCUGCCUCCUGGGCAGGGUCCUGAAAAUAGGGAUUACAGCAGGCUGCAUUUAUAUUCAGUAUUUUUUUAUAUCUGGACAAUAACAAAAACAAAAAAUCACUGUAAUUGCACCAAUUAAAAAAUUAGUAUAAGGAUGGGAACCAACAAACACCACCGUGAAACCCAUCCCGUCUCUUCUUGAGAGAUAAUCCGUCUUAUCUGGAAAUUUCUGUGCACCCAGUGCUGUGCUGCUCAGCCUCUCAGGAAAGAAAACAAGCCCUGAAUUGUAGGUUUGCUGAUUUCGGUGGCAAAAUCCUGCCAUGGCUGAGAGGCUACCAAAGGUUUAAGAACUAGUUCUCAGAAUUCUUGAAUAUUUAAAAACGGUUUCGUGAACCCCAUGCACCUCACAGGAGCUCACUUUCCCUUUUCAUUUGGGAAACUGGAGACUUGUUACACACAUCAAUCUGCGUGUCCUUUUCAUUUCCUGUGUCACAGACUCCUCCUCAGGCCAGCACGUGCCGUCACUUAGCUCCUUUCCUUUCCGUGGUGAGGUUUCCAUGAAAGUGCACCGUUGCUUCUGGAAGGUUCUUGGAAGGGCAGAUCCGCCUCGCCAGAAGAGGGGAGGGUGACAGCAGCUCUUAGCGAGCAGGGAGGCUGGCUCCUGCCACACUCUCCACAUCUCAGGCCUGGCGCGUGUCCUUUGAAUUUAUUCUGGCUUCUGGCUUCUUCCAAAUGUUAUUCUGAUGAUCUGUAAGUGACCAGAUCUGGUGGUGACACUUCCCUUCACUCCUGUUCAUCUUCCGCUUCCAUUAGAUAAUCUCAUUUUUCAUUCGGGAAACCUUUCUUGAUAUUUCCCUGUUCCGUGUGCCCCCUCCCCGAGGCUGGGCAAAGUGCCCGUUCUCCACGAUUCCUUUAGAACCCACGGCUGCCACCCAGGACUGUGCUCAACACACCUUACUAGUUAUUGUGUGGUGUCUGCCAGCUACCGGUGGAGAAGCUGGGAUGCUCUGGUAGGCAGAAUGGCCCCCAAAUUGUCCACACUCUGAUUCUGGAAUUAUGCCUGUGAGUAAAAUGUGUUCCUUUACGUGGCGAAGGGACUUUGCAGGUGUAAUUAAGGUUUAUGCAGAGAACUUGCUCUGGCAUAGAAGGAUGCCCUCAAGAAGAGUCAGUUUCCAGGUAGGAGGAUUCGGGGUGCUGCUGCUGGCUCUGAAAUGUGGGGACACUUGUGCAAGAACUGGAGGGAGGAGACGAGUUGCUAAGGGUCGCCCCCAUCUGACUGCCAGCAAAGAAACGGGCCUCAGUCCUAGAAUGCAGGGACGUAACUUCGGCCAAUGGCCUGAAUGACUGAGCUUGGAAGAGGUUUCUUCCCACAGCCCCCUGGUUAGAGCCCAGCCCGCUGGCAGCUGGCAGCUGCCAUCCACCUGGGCAGCCUGGGGCGGAGAACCCAGCGGAGCCACCUCUCACUUCUGACCUAUAGAACUGCGAGGUAAUCAACGUGUGUGAUUUGUUAUGGGGGCUGUGGAAAACUAAGAGUCAUAGCGGCUGGGGACACAGAUUCUGGUCCCCUCUCUUCUGACUUCAGAAAACAGUAGCUGCCCCCCCCAUCCACAGGGGACAUGCUCAAAGACCCCCUGUGGAUGCUCGAAACCGCAGAUAGCACCAAACCCUAUGUGUACUAUGUUCUUCCCUCUACAUGCAUACCUAUGACGAAGUUUGGUCCAUAAAUUAGGCACAGGAAGAGAGUAACAGUAACUAAAGAUAAGGUAGAAGACUCGCAAUAAUAUACUAAUGAAAGUUAUAUGAAUGUGGCCUCUCUCAAAAUAUCUCAUUGUACUGUACUCACUCUCCUUCUUGGGAUGAUGUGAGAUGAUAAAACGCCUUGAGAACUUUCACCUUUUCCCUUAAAAGAAGCACUUUUCGGCUCCUCUUUGGCAUAUCCAAAUCUCCGGCAUCACUCUUUUUGCUCUUUGGGGCCAUUAUUAAGUAAAAUAAGGGUGACUUGAGCACAAGCACUGCGAUACCAUGACAGGCAGUCUGAUCGCCAAGACAGCUACGAGGUGAUAACGGGCAGGUGGCGUCUACAGGUGGAGACGCUGGACGAAGGGAUGAUUCACGUCCCAGGCAGGACCGUGCGGGGCAGCGUGAGAUUUCCUCACGCUACUCAGUAUGGUGUAUAAUUUAAAACUGAGGAAUUGCUUAUUUCUGGAAUUUCCCAUUAAUAUUUGUGGACCACAAUUGGCCACAGGUAAGUGGAACCACAGAAAGCGAAACCGUGGAUGGGGGUGAUGACCAUGAGUUUGCUGCUCCCCGGGAGAACCCUAAGUGCCUAGUGUCUCCCUUUCGAUGUCCCAGGCUCUCCUGAAUGAGGCGAUUCCACCAUCUUCCAAAUGGUUCAUCUUUCCUGCCAUCUGUAGUCCUCACUCAGUGGAUUUUACCUCCACAAUGUGGGGUUCAGCUCGUGAUGUCACCUCCUGUACUGCUGGGCUCGCUUUCUACAGGGUCUCCCCACAUCCAGACCUUCUCUCUUCCCACUGUGCACCCUGUUCCCAGAUGCACCUCCCUGAAGCACGCUUUGCCUGCAUCACUCGCUCCCCAGCUACCGGCAUCCUGUGGUUUCCCUGUUCCCACCGAAUCCAGGGCAGACCCCUCAGCCAAGAAUUUGCAGUCCCCAGUCAGGACAGAAGCCGGCCUCUGCGGCCGAUUUCCCGGGACUCCCUCUGGGCAUUUGUCCCCUUGCACGCCCCAGCUUUCCCAGCUCCACGUCUCACACUUCUGCCAACCCUGUAGGGCCCUGCUCACGAGCCGUCUCAUCCCUGGAGCCUUCACAGAGCCCCCGGGGGUACUGGCAUUUAGAAGUGUGAUGCACAAGUCCCCAUUGACCAUAAAUGCAUUAGUAGGGCCUUCCCUGCCCUGUCCCUUGUUCUCCCUCAGUGCCUUGUGCUUAGUGACACCCGUUACCCAUGCCCACGAUGUAGUCAUGGGUGUCAGAAUGGAGGAGAGAGGCCGUGGGCCUGCUUACCAUGUUAGGCAUAUUACUUAUAGUUGCUCAUUAAAAUAACUCUUACAUGAGCAUUCAGCGCAUUCAUUUUGCACUGUUUUAAAUGGAUACCUCCACUAUCUUGAAACAUCUCCGAAGUAUUUUUAGCACACUCUUCCUUCAACAGUACUUCUAUUCGGAGGAGCUGCUUAUACUGAGUUCCAAGAUGGCCCAGACAUUGGUGAAUAAUAUUUUACUAUUUAUAGUAUUCCGAUCACCAGCUUCAUAAUAAUAGCUAACACAUGUUGAGCACCACGGAUUAGAUCAUUUAAGCCUCACGACAGUGCUCUGAAGUUGGGACUAUUUGUAUCUACGGUUUGUGGAUGAAGAAACGGGACACAGAGAAGUUAAGUGAUUUACCCAAGGUCACGCAGCUAGUUAGUAGUAGAGCUUGAUUUCCCACCCAGGCAGUUCGGCUCUAAAGCCUGCACCCCAGUGUCCCCUAGACUGCAUUGUAUCCCUCUGCACAGCUACGCUUUUGUCCUCAUCAGAGGCAGAACGACCCUUCGUCCCGGGGUGAACGUCAUCAGCGUUAUUGCUGGGGAUCCUUACUGUCUUUAACACUGCCCAUGUGCACAGGGCUUCACAGAGUUAGAGGUGCUCCCCUCCGUUCUCACGCCGAGCAGUCACCAGGAUGUGAGACUGGGGGCCGUGACUAGGAUGAUUCCGUUUCACAGAUGCGUCCCAAGUGAAAUGACCAAGUCCGAAGCAGCAAUCUCGCUGAAGCCACUGGGUACAGGGGACUCAGGCCCCCAGCACUCCUUGUCCUGAGGUGGGUGGGAAUCCCUUCGGCCACAAGAGGGACUCCUGACCUGGCCCGAUUGCCACCCCACUCUUAAACGCUGCUGUUCCCACACCAGACGGGUCAUGGUCGAGCCCCCUCGAGACACUUACACAGGCCCGAAUCGGAAAUGAUGACUUUUUUCCCUUAGAAUUUCAUUUUUGGUCUGUGGAUUUUCCAUUUAUGAGUUCUUAUAUUCUCUCUUGGGGUAGGGAGGCCCAUUUUCUUUUUUUUCUUCUGUUUUUCCCCAAGCUGGAGAAAUAUGGGGUAGGGAGGGGAAAAAAAAAAAAAUCUUUCCAUAGUCCAUCCUAGGGAAGUUUGCCAAAGAGUGCGUCUUGCCGGCUGCUGGCUGGAGGCCCAUCCCUGUCCUCAGAAGCCACGUCCACAGCGAGCGCUCUGCAGACCUAGAGCCAGCAUCCAGCCCAGGGGACGUCCAUGGUGGCCCUGGCAUUGACGGCUGCACGCAGGCCGACCCUGCCUCGGAAUGUACUUUUGAGCACAGAGCAUCUCCUUGCCGCUAACCAUCCCCUGUGCUGGGAAGCUGCGUAUUUCCUAUUCCCAGUCCUACUCCCGCCCCAAUUCAUUCCUUUUAAUAACUGCACAGGAAGUUCCUUUCCCUCCAGUAAAGAUGGUCAUAACAUUUUUCAGCCUGGGUGUUGACAUUUUCUUCGAAUCCCCAAGAGCCUUGACACAGGCGCAUGAAUCACAUUUUAGAAGAGACCAGAGCUUGGCCUCUAGAUUAGAUGAGACUGAAGUUCAAGUACAGGGCUGGGCCUUGGACUGGCUGUGUGGCUGUGGGCAAGUUGCUUAACCUCUCUGAAGCUCCUUUUUCUGUCUGCAGAAGUGGAGGGCGUAGCUCCAGCAGAGCUGUGCCUCCCCAGUUUGGUUGAUGGCUUGACAGGAUGCUGGGAGGUUGGCAGAGAAAAUGAGAUAAUGCGACUAAGUCAUUUCCCAUUGAAGAGGCUUCAAAGUGUUCAUGAUCUUAGCAGUUUUGCUUUAAGGAACUGGGGCCACAGGGCAAGUUCAAGUUUACUCUCGUCUUUAUAAGGGCGUUACUGGUGGCAGGCAGCACAUCCAGGCAGAGAACCCGGGCUCUGGGGUCAGAAUGUCUGCUGGUGCAUCUGGACGCCACACUUACCAGCUCUGGGACUUUGGACACGUUUAACUUCUCUGUGCCUGAUUUUCCUCAUCUGAAAAAUGGCGAUAAAAAUGUCCCCUGCCUCAUAAAAUUCUUGUGAGGCUGAGACGCGAUAAUGUGUGCACAGCCAUAAAAUAAUGCUUGCCGCGGGAAGUGGGAAGCACUUCUUAGCUCCUGUCGUUACGGCCCCUCCCCUCUGUGUGUGUGCGUGUGCGUCUGCAUUGUAUGGAUGUCUGCUUUUCCACUAGCAUGGGAGCGCUGCACACCUUCGGGCACGUGUGGUCUCUGUAGGGCACAGAGUGAUGUGACAGCUGUUUUGGGGAGAAGGGGUUCAAACUGUGAUCCAAAGAUCCUUGUAUCGGAAUUGCCUGGGGGCGACUGUCAAAAAUAUCAACUCCCGGGCCCCAGCCCAGAGCCACCGAAUCGGAUGCUAGGUGAUCGGAUGCUAGGUGAUCGGAUGCUAGGUGAUCGGAUGCUAGGUGAUCGUUUGGAUUCCUGUUUGGUCUUUUCUUUCCAGUUCUCAGCCCGGCAGCUACAGCAGAGCUGCAGGCCCUGUGCAGAGAUGGUUUGCUGCAUGCUCUCCCUAUCCCCAGUAAAACGAGGACAUUUGGGGGUGCAGAAGAGGAGGCGUGGAUCAACGAACAUGGAGCCUUUGCGUGACUGUUAUCCUGCAAUUGUGGAGCUCGGGAACAUGACGCUACAGGGAGAAAUUGCCCUUUUUGGCAAGAAGAUGAAGAAACUCAGCUCAGAGGCAUCACAUGAAUGACCAGGGGCACCGGCCGAGAACGUCAGAGCAUGAGCUGUUUUGUCCAGGGCUGCCUGACAGCAAGGACAGCUUCUUGUCACCCCAUUGCGCUCUGCGGGGACCUCAGCAAGCAGCGGCAAAAUCGCUGUGGAAGUUCCGCCAGGAGAAGGCACGUGGCCUGCCCAAGCUUACGCAUUGUGACCAGGGUUACCUGACACCCCUUCCAGCGCCCUUGGUCUGUCCGGUUGAGAUCUCAUGGGUCAGUGGACAUCCCUGAAAUGCCAUGCGGCUGUGGCUUGAGCAGAAAGCUGCCAGGGUAGGCUGUGGAGUGAUGGCCAUGAGAACAGUUAACACGAACGGAGCAGCUGUGAAGGCGGCGCAUAUACCAGAGACGGAUGCAGAGAGGGAGAAGGGCCCGAUCCGCGUCGCUUUGUUUCUCGGACGGGUUUCCCACGUGCGUCUCACGCAGAAGCCGCGCCUGUGCCUCCCUCUCCUUCGUCCUCCGCGGAUGUUCUUUCUCGGGCGGCCUCGUGACAGCGAUCGCGGUAUUGACCUGCAAAGCGCCGCUCGCCAGCGGAUGGAGUCCUGACGGGGAAGAGGCGGUAGCGCUGGUUCAGAGCUUGGGCUGCAGAGUCUCACAGUCUCCUCUGCUCCUACCUGCCUCAGUCACCCGGACAGGUCCCUCAUACAAUGGGUUUCAGGGAAAAAGAAAUUUCCUGGCCUGCUUGAUACCAAUUAGAAGGAAGCAGUGGCUUCGACGAGGGCAAGGAAACAAAAUGCAGGGAGAGCGAUAAGCUCUUGCCAGUCCAGGGAGCUGCUGGGUGGCUGCAGGGAGCGUUCCGAGGUGGUGGCAGGUGUGCCGUCUCGCACAAGUUUCUUUAUAGUGGCAAAGUGGAGUUUGCUGGACUGUCCCUCCAGUGAAAAGUGAGAACUAUGGCGAUGACCUGUGUGUGCUUAAGACGAAGCUCCAGAGAAGCACGGAAAGAACUUGACAGUUGUUUGGAGAUCACCAAGCUAAGGCGGGGAGCUGAGUCCCAUAGAGGCGGAAUACGGUGCCCGGUCACUCAGCCAGCUCAAGGCGAAGCCAGCUCCUGGGACCAACUGCGGUUUUCUUCCUCCUUUUCCAGUAGAUGUUCCAUGCCACCAUCUUUGUUCCUGUCACCUUUGUUCCUUGACGGAAGCACCUACGGUCCCUUUCCGCCAUGCCGGUUGACUUCAUACUCUGGGCUUUUUCCUGAGUGGCUUCGGUGUAGCUGGUGGCCUCUUGCCACACGCAUUAGGCAUCUCCGGUUUCAUUCGACAGCCUCUGACUGCGGGUCUCAUUGGUUUUGCUAGUUGUGUGGUCCGUACAGGUAAAUCAUGACUGUAGGCUGGGAGUGUUGGGUCCAGGUCUGCAGAACUAAGUGGGAAAUGCCGUGUGAUAAUUAAUGACAGGUGUCACCUUGGCCAGGCCAUGGUCCUGUUGGUUCUGUUUCUCUGGAGAAACCUGAUAAACGUGAGCAGACUUUAGAAUGACACAGAUUCAGGUCCAAAUUUCAGAACUGCCACUGCCCAGGUUAUUUCUGUAACUUCGCUGGGCUUUAGUUUCUCUGUCAGUGAAAUGGAAAUAAUAUGAAUCCUUGCUACAUGGGUGGCAAUAAAGGCUAAACAGGACGAUUAAUGUAAAAGCACUUAAUAUACUGCCUGGCACAGCGCCCAGCAAAUAACGCUGAUUCUUCUACAGGUCGUAGUUGUCUGUGACCCACGUAUGUGCACGAGUCACUUAUCUACUCGCCGCCCCACAAGCCACCCCAACACUUAGUGGCUUUAAACAAGGACAGCUUAUUUCCUCAUAGUCUCGUUGGGUGGCUGAGUCCUGCUGGGUGGUUCUUCUGUCCCACUUGGAGUCAUCUGGAGGCACUUGUGGCCGCAUUCAUGCUGAAGCUGCGAGGCCAACGUGGCUUCACUCAUACCUCCAGUGCCUCAGUGGGGGUGAUGAGUGGCUGGGGCAUCUUUUCCACGAGGUGUCAUCAUCAAUCGUCCAGCCCAACCUUCAGAGGAUGGAACCUGGGUUCCAAGUGACCGGUAAAGUGAAAGCCACCUGGCCUCCCAAAAGCUAGACUCAGAACCAGCCCACAUCCCGAGCGCUGGACGCAGAACCGGCCCACACCCCGAGCGCUGGACGCAGAGCCGGCCCACACCCCUUCCAUCACAGUCAGCUGGACGGACGGGCAGCCACACGCCAGCCCAGACUCAGUGGCAGGAGCGAUCGGCUCCACUCGCAGCGGGAAAGACAGCAGCUCAUAGAGAAAUGGGAGGAAUUCUUGGCAAACGUCGCUGGCUCCGCCCACCCCAGGGCGCGAGUCGCUUUCUAUGUCUGCGAGUCUCAGUCUCUAUCCUCUUUAACCUCAAGGAUUAUCUGUUCCGAGGUAGUGAGCACAACAGAAACGCUGGAGCCAGCUUGUCUUGCUGCAGAUCUUGCCUCUGCCACUAACUAGCUGUGUGGCCUUAGGCAAGUUUCUUAUCUCUCCGUGCCUCAGGGUCUUCAUCAGGGAAAUGGGGAUGUUAUCCAUUCUAGAGCAGAGCAUGUGCGAGGAUUAACUGAAAUACAUCUGUGUGUGGAGUGUCUGUGCAUAUGCAUGCCUGUGUAUAUAUGGCUGUGGACCUAUACACGUAUGCACAUACGUAUAUAUGAGUGUGUGUAUGCGUAGGCAUGUUCAUACACAUAAGCGUGUCUAUAUUUGUGUGUGCACAUGUAUGCGCAUAUGUGAAUGCAUAUGUAUAUGUGUCAUUGUUGAUAUGCGUGUGUGUGUGUGUGUGUGUAUGUAUAAAUCUAGUGCAUAGCUCAUAACUGAGAUUUUCCUGGUUUAUACGUAUGUUUGUGCCUUGCGCGGAAGUCCCAGCCUGCCUUGCCCUGCGUCUGGUCCCAGUGUUUUCUAGAUAAUUUUAAAGUUGGACCUGAGAGCUGCCGCCUAGCUGGGUCUCGAACGGAGGCCUUCCAAGGCUAAUUAAUGACUGUGCUAAAGCCUGCCCUUGGGAAGCAUCAGAAGUAUCAGUGGGUCCUGGUAAAAUACCAAUUAUUCCUGGGCCUCAGCCCUGGCCUGUUGAAACUGAGAGAGACUGAGAGUUUGACUAUUUAACCAGUCGCUCUGGGGCUUUUUGCUGGGAACUCCCACGACGCUGCUUUUCCUGGUGGCUGGUCUCCUGGCUGCCCAGUGCUGCCUCCGGUGGUACCAUCUUCACUCUGAUUACGAUGCUCUCCUUUCCCCUCCCAGAAAUACCUGCUACGUUCUACUCCUACACAGCCAGGAUCCCGGAGGCGUGCAAAGCACCGGGCCAGUCUCAUGUUUGAAUUUCCAUUCCAAUUUAGCAUUCCCACCUCCCCGAGGAGGACGCCGUAUCCUCCUGUCACCUUUUCCAGGCUGAGCUGAGGUCAGGUUUAGCUCUGGGUGGCCAGACCACCCUGGGCCUCUCUCCCUUUCAUUACCAGCUGAUUUCCCCCAGGGUACAGCUUCUGGGUGUUGCAGCCCAUUGCUUUGUUAGUUCCCUGAAUCUUCCCACUAAGAAAAAAACACAGAGCACUGAGGCUGUAUAAUAUAGUGCUCUAAGUAUUACCCUACGAGAAAGAUAUAUUUCAAUAAUUUAUCCUGAAGCUAGGCGAUAAUAAGUAAUUUACAAAAGGAUGUGGAGCCAGCAUUCAAACCCUCGUCCACCUCGCCUCUAAUAUACCAGAGGUGAGACAAGUGAGAUUUCUUUAAAGGUUGUAGGACCUAAAUACGUCCCUUUAACGUAGUUGAGCAGAAUCUCGCAGAGAAAAUUUUUUCCCAUUUAAAAUGUGCAGACUGCCCUUGGGGUUAUAACACGUUCCAGAAAGUCAGGAGCCGCCUGGCGCUGGCCGCACGGGAAGGCACACGGUGUGUGAGGCUGGCCGGGGUGCGGCCGCUUGGAGUCAGGCUGCUCACUGCCUGCCUCUGUCCGGUCUUUCGGUUGUAAACAUGUUUUCCUCCUCGCACUUUGGAAUCCGUCGUGGUUUAAAUUCCAGGUUGUAAACCCUUGUAGACAGGGGUUCGGAUCUUGGCAUUAACCCGCCCCCCGGUUAUGUGUGCGGGGCUGGGUCGCUGCUAAAGGCUUUCUAAACUUUAGCCGAUGCUCACAGCUCCGUGGAGAGAGAAGAUGCCGAGGCAAACAGCCUUCCGUGGGGGAGCCACCGGCCUGGCUUCAAGCCCAGCACGUCUCAUCACGCUACCGGGAGUCCUUUGUUUAAGAGGUUGUUACCUGAGUGUGUGUGAAGGGUAAUGGAGGCUGGGUUCGAAUUAUGGGGAAAAUCGCCUCCCUUCUUCAUGAGGGAUUUCCCUGUCCCCUCUGCCCGCAUGGUGGAACAGCUGACCACUGUGUGCACUGAUGCGGGUGCCCGACCCACUUCCCCACGGAGCCUGGAGCUCUUUCCAUCCGCCCCACCUGCCUCCAGGGACUCCGUCGCUGUCCCUGGCUUGUGAUGGACUCUCCUAGUGAUGUGUCAGCCGAAUUAAUAAAUAACAAUUGCACAUUACCAAUCAGACUACUUUGGGAGUGUGGAGCUCCUGUCUGGGCACCCGUUGGCUGCAUUUCUUAUUACAGAGCACUAACUACCUCUUCCGGAAAAAUCCCCAAGUCCAGACAAACUAAAGAAAGAAGCUAAAAACAUUCAGAGAUGACUAAUUAAAUGAACGGAUACAUAUGUGCAUACACACACGCACACAAACACACACACACAUACUUAAAAUUGUUUGGUCAUAUAUAUUAGCUUGUAGGCUAUUCAGGUUGCCAUGUACCCCUUAUGGAGUUUGGACCCAUCUCGCCUUCCACCGUCUCCUGAGCCCCCCGGCAGGAAGCUGGCACGAACGUGCCCAUUGCAGCCUCUUCUCUUUGGCACGUAGCACAGACCAGACACAGGGUCAUUCACAGCCUACGUGUCCCUUCUUCAGAGGGUCUCCGUCCCUGCGGACUGUGUGAUGCCCCUAUUCCCCUUCCAGCCCUUGAUUUCUGUAACACGCGUCUCUAAUUAAUUAAAUCAUGAUUCGUGGUGUUGGGAGCCGAGCCCGAGUGGGUCUGUUGUGUUCUGGCGGCCGGCAUGGUAUUUUAUAAUGGUCAGAAGCAAGGGCUUGUGUCAGAAACACCCGGAUGUACUACGGCUCUGCCCUUGUCAUCUGAGUUACCGCGUGACCUGCCUCGCACAGUGAUGGUGACUUUUAAAUGAGAUGGCACGUGAAGAGUGCCGCACACUUCACAGCUUCCCCCGGAAGAACAUUCAGCCGUUGUUGCUUGGGGUGUGGUUGGUGGGUGGCGAGUGCCUACACUGUGCCCGGCAUUGUUCUGAGCGCUUUACAUCAAGUUGGCGAAUUGCGGGUCAUCGGCCAUAUUCCACCCACCACCUGUUUUUGUAAAGCCCACGAGCUAAGAAUGGUUUUUACGUUUUUAAAUGGUGGAGAAAAGUCGAAAGAACAAUCAUAUUUUGCGAUGCAUGAAAAUUACGCAAAAUGUAAUUUCAGCAUCUAUACGUAAAGUUUUAUUGGAACACAGCAUGCCCUUUCUUUUGCAUAAGUCUAUGGUGGCUUUUAUGCUACAGUGACGGAGAUGAGUAACUGGGACAUAGAUGGUGUGACCCAUAAUGCUCAAAAUACUUACUGAAAGAGUUUGCCAACCCUCGGAUUACAUGUAUGAGCUCAUCUAAUCCUGCACAAGGCAGGCUGUUAUUGUCACCAUCCUCAUUGUACACAUGGGGAAGCGAGGUACAGAGAAGUUAAGAAAUUGCCCAAAGUCACUCAUGGCUUGAAAGCGGUGGAGAGAAGGGUUUGGUUCCCAGAGCUGGGGCUCCUAAUGGUUCCACCGUAGGGCAUGGCGCUGGCCUUCGCGGGUGAGGGACGUGAAGCACGAAGAGGUGAGGUCGUGCACCCAUGAGUGGCAGAAUCCGGAUUUAGAACCAGUCCAGGGACCUCGGAGCUGUUGAUCUUUCUCUCAUAACGGACUCUUUCCACCUCUGCAGUCUCCUGGCAUCACCUGCUAGAUACAGGACCAAACACACAGAGGCGUUCAGUCCGUCCUGAGAAAUUCAGGAACCUGAGAGCAGCGAGCUGGAUGGCACGGCGAGAUAUGGUUAUGCACUGAAUUCAGACUUAGUAAAUGUUUGUGGGAUGAAUGAGUGGAUGGAUCUGGUUAAUAGUUUCUGAACUCUUAAGAGUUUAGACUCUGGAGACAGGAUAGGGACCCCUGGGGAAAGCAGUGGACCCCAGGACCAGGGAAAGAGACCUUCCUGGACGUCAGUCAUGCUCCUCCAGUGGUGUGGGGGAGCUUGGGCCACAGUGCCAAACACUGUUCUUCAGUUAAAAUUCCACUAAAGAAGACCGCUGUCGUUUCCACGCCUCUGGCUUUGCUUUUGUUAAUUAUGAAUGUUUGGUUUCUUUAAACGGCUUUGUUGAGAUAGAAUUCUCAUGCCAUACAGUUUACCAAUCUUGGCACAUUUCCAAGACCUCAAAAAGCAAGUCUGGACCCUUACUAUCGCCUCCCAGCCCCCUUCCACCCCCAGUCCUAAGCAACCUGUAAUCUACUUUCUGUCGCUGUUCGGGAUGUUUCCUGUAACGGGAUCAUAGGAAAUGUCUUUCAUGACUGGCUUCGCUCACCUGGCAUGAAGUGUUCAGGGUUCAUCCACGAUGUCUCGGGUAUGUGUACUUCAUCCCUUUCUAUGCCCGAAUACUAUUCCAUUGUAUGAAUAUAACGCCACAUUAUGUAUGUUCCUUCAUCGGUUGAUGGACAUCGGGUGGUUUCCAUCUUUUGGUUAUUAUGAAUAAUGUGGCUCUGAAGGUUUACGUACAAGAUUUUGUGUGGAUGUAAGCUUUUAUUUUUCUUGUGUAUGUAAACCUAGGAGUGGAAUCGCUGGGUCAUAUGGUAACUGUGUGUAACCUUUCGAGAAAGUACCAGGUUGUUUCUCAGGGUGGCUACCCUGUUUUUCAUUCCCCCUGGGACGUGCCAUUCAUUCAUGCUCCUCUUUAAACAUAACUUGAUUCCAUGUAUAUGGAUUUUUAGAGCAUGCAAAAUUAGUUAACGGUGCUAGAAGUCUGUGCAGUGAUUGCCUCGGGGAGGAGGGCAGAGACCGCGAUGAGAAAGGCACAGGGCACUUUGUGGGCGAGGGAAAUUUUUUUUGUGUGUCUUGGUGGUUUACUGCUUUUUGGUGUAUGCAUUUGUCAAAACUCAUCAAACUGUUCAUUUAACAUCCGGACAUUUCACUGGGCGUUAAUUAUGCCCAAAUUAAGGAAAAAAAAAAAAAAAAGCACACA
Long non-coding RNA from Pteropus alecto (black flying fox), 16150 nucleotides. RefSeq lists it as uncharacterized. The transcript is spliced from 13 exons. NCBI's taxonomy places the organism in Eukaryota, Metazoa, Chordata, Mammalia, Chiroptera, Pteropodidae. The record is from RefSeq and is a predicted model, not a curated record.